This 75-nucleotide transfer RNA is filed under the name Patescibacteria group bacterium. RNAcentral describes it as "tRNA-Arg". It matches the Rfam family "tRNA". Rfam says of the family: Transfer RNA (tRNA) molecules are approximately 80 nucleotides in length. Their secondary structure includes four short double-helical elements and three loops (D, anti-codon, and T loops). The record is from RNAcentral.
GCUCUCAUAGUUCAACGGAUAGAACAGCCCCGUCCUAAGGGGUAGAUGUAGGUUCAAUUCCUGCUGAGAGCACAA